UUGGGCGUAAGAGCUCGCUAGGCGGUUUGUCGCGUCUGCUGUGAAAACCCGAGGCUCAACCUCGGGCUUGCAGUGGGUACGGGCAGACUAGAGUGCGGUAGGGGAGAUUGGAAUUCCUGGUGUAGCGGUGGAAUGCGCAGAUAUCAGGAGGAACACCGAUGGCGAAGGCAGAUCUCUGGGCCGUAACUGACGCUGAGGAGCGAAAGCAUGGGGAGCAAACAGGCUUAGAUACCCUGGUAGUCCAUGCCGUAAACGUUGGGAACUAGAUGUGGGGACCAUUCCACGGUCUCCGUGUCGUAGCUAACGCAUUAAGUUCCCCGCCUGGGGAGUACGGCCGCAAGGCUAAAACUCAAAGGAAUUGACGGGGGCCCGCACAAGCGGCGGAGCAUGCGGAUUAAUUCGAUGCAACGCGAAGAACCUUACCAAGGCUUGACAUAUACGAGAACGCGCUGGAGACAGCGAACUCUUUGGACACUCGUAUACAGGUGGUGCAUGGUUGUCGUCAGCUCGUGUCGUGAGAUGUUGGGUUAAGUCCCGCAACGAGCGCAACCCUCGUCCUAUGUUGCCAGCACGUCAUGGUGGGAACUCAUGGGAUACUGCCGGGGUCAACUCGGAGGAAGGUGGGGAUGAGGUCAAAUCAUCAUGCCCCUUAUGUCUUGGGCUUCACGCAUGCUACAAUGGCCGGUACAAUGGGCUGCGAUACCGCAAGGUGGAGCGAAUCCCAAAAAGCCGGUCUCAGUUCGGAUUGAGGUCUGCAACUCGACCUCAUGAAGUCGGAGUCGCUAGUAAUCGUAGAUCAGCAACGCUACGGUGAAUACGUUCCCGGGCCUUGUACACACCGCCCGUCAAGUCAUGAAAGUC
RNAcentral lists this ribosomal RNA (861 nucleotides) under Agrococcus sp. RNAcentral describes it as "bacterial SSU rRNA". It matches the Rfam family "Bacterial small subunit ribosomal RNA", at positions 554 to 1412 of the family's 1533-position model. The record is from RNAcentral. Lineage: Bacteria; Bacillati; Actinomycetota; Actinomycetes; Micrococcales; Microbacteriaceae.